AUUUACAUAGAUGUUUUUAAGUCAAAACUGUUUGUAACAGUUUCACAGCCAUAUUGCAUAGUACCAAUUGGUUUUUGGACUCAUAUUUUUGACUAUGUUCAUUGUCACUAUAACAUCAGAGAUUCAAGAAGAAAAAUAUCAGACAAGUGGACAACCGUGGACAUGUAGAAAACGUCCAGUAACCAUCAGAUUUUAAACUAUACUGAAAAAUGUUGCACUCAACUGUGGCUCUUU
Molecule: non-coding RNA, 234 nt
Organism: Cinara cedri
Lineage: Eukaryota; Metazoa; Arthropoda; Insecta; Hemiptera; Aphididae
Source: the annotation of a GenBank genome assembly